GACAGAGGGUGCAAACGUUGUUCGGAAUUACUGGGCGUAAAGAGUGUGUAGGCGGUGCUCUAAGUCUGUCGUGAAAUCUCCCGGCUUAACCGGGAGGCUGCGGCGGAAACUGGUGUGCUAGAGGGUGGGAGAGGUAAGCGGAAUUCCUGGUGUAGCGGUGAAAUGCGUAGAUAUCAGGAGGAACACCUGCGGUGUAGACAGCUUACUGGACCACUUCUGACGCUGAGACACGAAAGCGUGAGUAGCAAACAGG
This 253-nucleotide ribosomal RNA is filed under the name uncultured bacterium. RNAcentral describes it as "partial 16S ribosomal RNA". It matches the Rfam family "Bacterial small subunit ribosomal RNA", at positions 524 to 776 of the family's 1533-position model. The record is from RNAcentral.